Molecule: RNA transcript, 724 nt
Organism: Jatropha curcas
Lineage: Eukaryota; Viridiplantae; Streptophyta; Magnoliopsida; Malpighiales; Euphorbiaceae
Gene name: protein ETHYLENE INSENSITIVE 3 pseudogene
Source: RefSeq, a predicted model, not a curated record
AACAACACGGAGCCCCUUCAAGCCCUCCCUCGCAGCACGUACACUUUCACUUUCACUUUCUUUGUCUUAAAUAAUCUCCUCUUCUCUCUCUCUCUCUCUCUCUCUCUCCAAACGGACAUAACUAUGGUUCAAUUGAAUUAACCUCAUCAAACCUCACCUCUUCUCUCCCUCUCUCCCUCUCUCUCCUUCCUCAUGCUUUCUUAUAUUUUUUUUGGCUAAUCUUGUUACUUUAAUCCCACCGCCCACUCCACACAGUCACCAAUAAUACUACUCUGUUCUGCAUCAUCCCUCAAGUUCCCAUUUCAAAAGAUAAUAUUUUGAUUAGUGGUUAUUUCUCUUAUUUUCCUCUUUCUUUGUCUUUCUCUCUUAAACUUGAAAUAUAAUUAAUUAAGGGGAAGGAAAGAAAAAGAAAAGAAAAUUAAAGGGUCUGUCGGUGUUGUUUGAUUGACCUUGAAUCUAUCUGGGAAAGAGGCUUGAAAAUACCGACAGAGUAAGAUAGAUAGGGUUUAAAGCCAUUAGAGGUCCCUACAAAUUCAAGAUGAUGAUGUUCGAUGAGAUGGGAUUUUGUAGUGAUAUGGAUUUCUUCUCUGCGCCUUUUGGAGAAGAUGUGGCUGCUCCGCAAGCUGAGCCGGAGCCUACUGUGGAGGAUGAUUAUAGUGAUGAGGAGACUGAUGUUGAUGAGCUUGAGCGCAGGAUGUGGAGGGACAAGAUGCGUCUUAAAAGG